This 481-nucleotide ribosomal RNA is filed under the name uncultured bacterium. Its description in RNAcentral is "partial 16S ribosomal RNA". It matches the Rfam family "Bacterial small subunit ribosomal RNA", at positions 28 to 507 of the family's 1533-position model. The record is from RNAcentral.
GAUGAACGCUGGCGGCGUGCCUAACACAUGCAAGUCGAACGGAGAUUACGGACGGAAGUUUUCGGAUGGAAGCCUGUAAUUCUUAGUGGCGGACGGGUGAGUAACGCGUGGGCAACCUGCCCUAUACGGGGGGAUAGCAGCUGGAAACGGCUGGUAAGACCGCAUAAGUCGGUUAAAUCGCAUGAUUUGAUCGGGAAAUGAGCAAUCAGGUAUAGGAUGGGCCCGCGUCCGAUUAGCCAGUUGGCAGGGUAAAAGCCUACCAAAGCGACGAUCGGUAGCCGGACUGAGAGGUCGGACGGCCACAUUGGGACUGAGACACGGCCCAAACUCCUACGGGAGGCAGCAGUGGGGGAUAUUGCACAAUGGAGGAAACUCUGAUGCAGCGACGCCGCGUGAGUGAAGAAGUAUUUCGGUAUGUAAAGCUCUAUCAGCAGGGAAGAUGAUGACGGUACCUGACUAAGAAGCCCCGGCUAACUACGUG